This 253-nucleotide ribosomal RNA is filed under the name uncultured bacterium. RNAcentral's name for it is "partial 16S ribosomal RNA". It matches the Rfam family "Bacterial small subunit ribosomal RNA", at positions 524 to 776 of the family's 1533-position model. The record is from RNAcentral.
UACGUAGGCAGCGAGCGUUGUUCGGAGUUACUGGGCGUAAAGCGCACGUAGGCGGAUUGUUAAGUCGGGGGUGAAAUCCUGGAGCUCAACUCCAGAACUGCCUUCGAUACUGGCGAUCUCGAGUUCGGGAGAGGUGAGUGGAACUGCGAGUGUAGAGGUGAAAUUCGUAGAUAUUCGCAAGAACACCAGUGGCGAAGGCGGCUCACUGGCCCGAUACUGACGCUGAGGUGCGAAAGCGUGGGGAGCAAACAGG